UACGGAGGGUGCGAGCGUUGUCCGGAAUCACUGGGCGUAAAGGGCGCGUAGGCGGCCUGAUAAGUAGGGGGUGAAAUCCUGCGGCUUAACCGCAGGGCUGCCUUCUAAACUGUCAGGCUGGAGCACAGUAGAGGCAGGUGGAAUCCCGGUGUAGCGGUGGAAUGCGUAGAGAUCGGGAAGAACAUCAGUGGCGAAGGCGGCCUGCUGGGCUGUUGCUGACGCUGAGGCGCGACGCGUGGG
This 240-nucleotide ribosomal RNA is filed under the name uncultured bacterium. RNAcentral's name for it is "partial 16S ribosomal RNA". It matches the Rfam family "Bacterial small subunit ribosomal RNA", at positions 524 to 765 of the family's 1533-position model. The record is from RNAcentral.